Molecule: small RNA, 183 nt
Filed under: Arabidopsis thaliana (thale cress)
Lineage: Eukaryota; Viridiplantae; Streptophyta; Magnoliopsida; Brassicales; Brassicaceae
Description: ATSL061670
Source: RNAcentral
UACAUAAACUUACUUUUGGUUCAAUUUGCAAGGAUAGUUUUGUAUUUUCUUAUGCCGUCAUAUAGUUAUUUAUCCAUAGAAAAACUGACAAUAGUUAGUUACUUGAUUCUUUUUAAUUUUACAGUUAGUUUCUAAUAUUACCCUUUAAAUUUUUAUUUGUUUAUUAUGGUUUGCUAUUAUAGA